Molecule: long non-coding RNA, 640 nt
Filed under: Felis catus (domestic cat)
Lineage: Eukaryota; Metazoa; Chordata; Mammalia; Carnivora; Felidae
Description: lncRNA (ENSFCAG00000052889.1)
Source: RNAcentral
GUUUUCAAAGGGCGCUAGGGGUCGCAGGAAAUCAGUGAAAAAGUGCAGGGGCACCAACACUGGAUACACACUGAUAUCACAGGUCGGGGCUGGCCCCUCUCCCAGGCUUUCACCCCGGAAGCGUCGGCCAGUGUGCAUCUGUGCCAGCCAGCCUAAUACUGCGGCAAGCAAGGGAACAUCAUCUUACACAAGAGGCGGUAAAACAAGAAAGAAAACCGAGGAAGGCACUGAGUCUAACUAUUACUGCCAGGAAGUCUCCUUACAAAUGACAGAAGAUUAUUUCGGCGACAAGAUAAAGUGUGUUCAAGGAGCGAGCCCUCUGAAGAGCAGCAGGCUGUAAGCGCCCCUCCACGCCUCCCUCCCACGUCCAAUGACGUCACAUGGGGGAUGGAACAGUCAACAAGGCCGAAGGGUCCCUGUCAGCACCCGCGCUGCGAGGGGAGUACAAAGCAGACAGCUCUGACUGUCGUCAGGAAAACCUACCUCAAAUGUUUAUCUCACAUUUUUGUUUAGCUUUCCGGGGAGCGUUUAGGAUCUAGACGCAGAACCUCGGAGCUCCUGACCGAUUAAGUUAAUGCAGUAAGAAAAAAGGCACUGGUCUCAGGGGACAAAGUAACCAAACCGAUUCUUUGAUGUACUG